UACAGAGGUCCCAAGCGUUGUUCGGAUUCACUGGGCGUAAAGGGUGCGUAGGCGGUCGGGUAAGUCUGACGUGAAAUCUCCAAGCUCAACUUGGAAAUGGCGUCGGAUACUAUUCGGCUGGAGGAAUGGAGGGGAGACUGGAAUUCUCGGUGUAGCAGUGAAAUGCGUAGAUAUCGAGAGGAACACCAGUGGCGAAGGCGAGCCUCUGGACAUUUCCUGACGCUGAGGCACGAAAGCCAGGGGAGCAAACGGG
RNAcentral lists this ribosomal RNA (253 nucleotides) under uncultured bacterium. RNAcentral describes it as "partial 16S ribosomal RNA". It matches the Rfam family "Bacterial small subunit ribosomal RNA", at positions 524 to 776 of the family's 1533-position model. The record is from RNAcentral.